Molecule: RNase P RNA, 285 nt
Filed under: Bacillota bacterium
Lineage: Bacteria; Bacillati; Bacillota
Description: partial RNase P RNA component class A
Rfam family: Bacterial RNase P class A
About the family: Ribonuclease P (RNase P) is a ubiquitous endoribonuclease, found in archaea, bacteria and eukarya as well as chloroplasts and mitochondria. Its best characterised activity is the generation of mature 5'-ends of tRNAs by cleaving the 5'-leader elements of precursor-tRNAs. Cellular RNase Ps are ribonucleoproteins.
Source: RNAcentral
CAACUGUCUAAGGUAAUCGCGUGCGGUCUCAGCCGUACGAGGAAAGUCCGAGCUCCGCAGGGCAGGGUGCCGGGUAACACCCGGUGGGGGCGACCCCAAGGAAAGUGCCACAGAAAAGAAGACGCUGAUCACUGGUAACCCGGUCAUCGGCAAAGCUGAAACGGUGCGGUAAGAGCGCACCAGCGAACGGGUAACCGUUCGGCUUGGCAAACCCCACCCGGAGCAAGACCAAAUAGGAGGGAAACAGGAGCGCCCGUCCUUCUCUCGGGUUGGUCGCUGGAGGUG